ACGGGAGGCAGCAGUGGGGGAUAUUGCACAAUGGGGGGAACCCUGAUGCAGCGACGCCGCGUGAGUGAAGAAGUAUUUCGGUAUGUAAAGCUCUUUUAGCAGGGAAGAAAGUGACGGUACCUGCAGAAAAAGCCCCGGCUAACUACGUGCCAGCAGCCGCGGUAAUACGUAGGGGGCAAGCGUUAUCCGGAUUUACUGGGUGUAAAGGGAGCGUAGACGGUGAAGCAAGUCUGAAGUGAAAUGAUGGGGCUCAACCCCGUAACUGCUUUGGAAACUGUUUGACUGGAGUACCGGAGGGGCAGGCGGAAUUCCUGGUGUAGCGGUGAAAUGCGUAGAUAUCAGGAAGAACACCGGUGGCGAAGGCGGCCUGCUGGACGGUAACUGACGUUGAGGCUCGAAAGCGUGGGGAGCAAACAGGAUUAGAUACCCUGGUA
Molecule: ribosomal RNA, 434 nt
Filed under: uncultured Lachnospiraceae bacterium
Lineage: Bacteria; Bacillati; Bacillota; Clostridia; Lachnospirales; Lachnospiraceae
Description: bacterial SSU rRNA
Rfam family: Bacterial small subunit ribosomal RNA
Source: RNAcentral